RNAcentral lists this ribosomal RNA (168 nucleotides) under Parabrotula tanseimaru. Its description in RNAcentral is "partial 12S ribosomal RNA". Lineage: Eukaryota; Metazoa; Chordata; Actinopteri; Ophidiiformes; Parabrotulidae. The record is from RNAcentral.
CACCGCGGUUAUACGAGAGGCCCAAGUUGUUAAACCCCGGCACAAAGCGUGGUUAGGAGCCCCCCCCCUUUUUUAAAGCCGAAACCCCUCAAAACCGUUAUACGCAUUCGAGAACCCGAAGACCCCCCCCCGCUUUAACCCCCCUCCGAACCCACGAAAGCUGAGACA